UGCCUAUGAUCUGACAACUAAACUGCAUUACUCAAGGCAAGGUAGACUUGCCCAUGAUCUGUUAACUAAACUGCAUUACUCAAGGCAAGGUAGACUUGCCCUUGAUCUUUUAACUAAACUGUAUUACUCAAGGCAAGGUAGACUUGCCCAAGACCUGUUGACCAAAAUGUAUUACUCAAGGCAAGGUAGACUUGCCCAUGACCUGUUGACCAAAAUGUA
This is a long non-coding RNA of Mercenaria mercenaria, 219 nucleotides long. RefSeq lists it as uncharacterized. NCBI's taxonomy places the organism in Eukaryota, Metazoa, Mollusca, Bivalvia, Venerida, Veneridae. The record is from RefSeq and is a predicted model, not a curated record. The transcript has 2 exons.